This 437-nucleotide ribosomal RNA is filed under the name uncultured bacterium. RNAcentral describes it as "bacterial SSU rRNA". It matches the Rfam family "Bacterial small subunit ribosomal RNA", at positions 43 to 524 of the family's 1533-position model. The record is from RNAcentral.
CAGGCCUAACACAUGCAAGUCGAACGAGUGCCUUCGGGUGCUAGUGGCGCACGGGUGCGUAACGCGUGGGAAUCUGCCCCUUGGUUCGGAAUAACAGUUAGAAAUGACUGCUAAUACCGGAUAACGACGUAAGUCCAAAGAUUUAUCGCCGAGGGAUGAGCCCGCGUAGGAUUAGCUAGUUGGUGUGGUAAAGGCGCACCAAGGCGACGAUCCUUAGCUGGUCUGAGAGGAUGAUCAGCCACACUGGGACUGAGACACGGCCCAGACUCCUACGGGAGGCAGCAGUGGGGAAUAUUGGACAAUGGGCGAAAGCCUGAUCCAGCAAUGCCGCGUGAGUGAUGAAGGCCUUAGGGUUGUAAAGCUCUUUUACCCGGGAAGAUAAUGAUUGUACCGGGAGAAUAAGCUCCGGCUAACUCCGUGCCAGCAGCCGCGGUAAU